This 443-nucleotide ribosomal RNA is filed under the name uncultured bacterium. Its description in RNAcentral is "bacterial SSU rRNA". It matches the Rfam family "Bacterial small subunit ribosomal RNA", at positions 1081 to 1531 of the family's 1533-position model. The record is from RNAcentral.
UGGGNAUCCGCACGAGCGCACCCUUGUCAUUAGUUGCUACGAAAGGGCACUCUAAUGAGACUGCCGGUGACAAGCCGGAGGAAGGUGGGGAUGACGUCAAGUCCUCAUGGCCCUUAUGGGUAGGGCUUCACACGUCAUACAAUGGUACAUACAGAGGGCCGCCAACCCGCGAGGGGGAGCUAAUCCCAGAAAGUGUAUCGUAGUCCGGAUUGUAGUCUGCAACUCGACUGCAUGAGGUUGGAAUCGCUAGUAAUCGCGGAUCAGCAUGUCGCGGUGAAUACGUUCCCGGGUCUUGUACACACCGCCCGUCACACCAUGGGAGCGGGUUUUACCAGAAGUAGGUAGCUUAACCGCAAGGAGGGCGCUUACCACGGUAGGAUUCGUGACUGGGGUGAAGUCGUAACAAGGUAGCCGUAUCGGAAGGUGCGGCUGGAUCACCUCCU